AGAGUUUGAUCCUGGCUCAGGAUAAACGCUGGCGGCGUGCCUAAUGCAUGCAAGUCGAACGGGAGCACCUUAGGGUGUCGACCGUGGCGGACGGGUGAGGAACACGUAGCUGACCUGCCCAGAUGAGGGGGAUAACGCUGGGAAACUGGUGUGAAUACCGCAUAGACUGCGGCUCAGGGAUGAGUUGCAGGAAACGGAUUUUCGGAUUCGCAUUUGGAGGGGGCUGCGGCCGAUUAGCUAGUUGGUGUGGUAACGGCAUACCAAGGCAUUGAUCGGUAGCUGGUCUGAGAGGAUGAUCAGCCACACGGGGACUGAGACACGGCCCCGACUCCUACGGGAGGCAGCAGCAAGGAAUUUUCCACAAUGGGGGCAACCCUGAUGGAGCAACGCCGCGUGGGGGAGGAAGCCCUUCGGGGUGUAAACCCCUUUUCUGGGGGACGAAGACAAUGACGGUACCCCAGGAAGAAGGACCGGCUAACUACGUGCCAGCAGCCGCGGUAAGACGUAGGGUCCGAGCGUUGUCCGGAGUUACUGGGCGUAAAGGGCGCGCAGGCGGUUGGUCACGUCGGGUGUGAAAGCCCCCCGCUCAACGGGGGAAGGUCACUCGAAACGGGUUAACUGGAGGCAGGGAGAGGUCGGUGGAAUUCCCGGUGUAGCGGUGAUAUGCGUAGAGACCGGGAGGAACACCAGAGGCGAAGGCGGCCGACUGGACCUGACCUGACGCUGAGGCGCGAAGGCGUGGGGAGCGAACGGGAUUAGAUCCCGGUAGUCCACGCAGUAAACGAUGUGCACUAGGUGUAGCGGGAGUUGACCCCGGCUGUGCCGGAGCAAACGCGGUAAGUGCACCGCCUGGGGAGUACGGCCGCAAGGCUAAAACUCAAAGGAAUUGACGGGGCCCCGCACAAGCAGCGGAGCGUGUGGUUUAAUUCGACGCAACGCGAAGAACCUUACCAGGACUUAACAUCCCCAGAAUCUUGCUGAAAAGCUGGAGUGCUCUUCGGAGAGCCGAGAGAUAGGUGUUGCAUGGCUGUCGUCAGCUCGUGUCGUGAGAUGUUGGGUUAAGUCCCGCAACGAGCGCAACCCCUGUGGUUAGUUACUAGGAUGUCUAACCAGACUGCCGUAAAAGGAGGAAGGCGGGGAUGACGUCAAGUCCGCAUGACCCUUACGUUCUGGGCUACACACACGCUACAAUGGCCGGUACAGAGGGCAGCCAAGCCGUAAGGUGGAGCCAAUCCCAGAAAGCCGGUCUCAGUACGGAUUGAGGGCUGAAACUCGCCCUCAUGAAGGCGGAGUUGCUAGUAACCGCUGGUCAGCAUACAGCGGUGAAUAUGUUCCCGGGGCUUGUACACACCGCCCGUCACGUCAUGGAAGCCGGCAACACCUGAAGUCGGUGGGCCAACCGGUUUUGGCCGGAGGCAGCCGCCGAGGGUGGGGCUGGUGACUGGGACGAAGUCGUAACAAGGUAGCC
This 1468-nucleotide ribosomal RNA is filed under the name uncultured prokaryote. RNAcentral describes it as "partial 16S ribosomal RNA". It matches the Rfam family "Bacterial small subunit ribosomal RNA". The record is from RNAcentral.